RNAcentral lists this ribosomal RNA (458 nucleotides) under uncultured bacterium. RNAcentral describes it as "bacterial SSU rRNA". It matches the Rfam family "Bacterial small subunit ribosomal RNA", at positions 342 to 797 of the family's 1533-position model. The record is from RNAcentral.
AAGGAGGCAGCAGUAAGGAAUAUUGGACAAUGGGCGCAAGCCUGAUCCAGCCAUGCCGCGUGCAGGAUGACGGCCCUAUGGGUUGUAAACUGCUUUUGGCGGGGAAAAAACCCUCCGACGUGUCGGAGGUUGAUGGUACCCGCAGAAUAAGGAUCGGCUAACUCCGUGCCAGCAGCCGCGGUAAUACGGAGGAUCCAAGCGUUAUCCGGAUUUAUUGGGUUUAAAGGGUGCGUAGGCGGAUUAGUAAGUCAGUGGUGAAAGCCUGCAGCUCAACUGUAGAACUGCCAUUGAUACUGCUAGUCUUGAAUAUAGUUGAGGUAGGCGGAAUAUGACAUGUAGCGGUGAAAUGCUUAGAUAUGUCAUAGAACACCGAUUGCGAAGGCAGCUUGCUAAACUAUUAUUGACGCUGAGGCACGAAAGCGUGGGUAGCAAACAGGAUUAGAUACCCGGGUAGUCCU